GACGAACGCUGGCGGCGUGCUUAACACAUGCAAGUCGAACGGUGAACGAGGGAGCUUGCUCCCUCCGGAUCAGUGGCGAACGGGUGAGUAACACGUGAGCAAUCUGCCCCGAACUCUGGGAUAAGCGUUGGAAACGACGUCUAAUACCGGAUACGACGCGGGAGGGCAUCCUCUCCGCGUGGAAAGAACUUCGGUUCGGGAUGAGCUCGCGGCCUAUCAGCUUGUUGGUGAGGUAACGGCUCACCAAGGCGACGACGGGUAGCCGGCCUGAGAGGGUGACCAGCCACACUGGGACUGAGACACGGCCCAGACUCCUACGGGAGGCAGCAGUGGGGAAUAUUGCACAAUGGGCGCAAGCCUGAUGCAGCAACGCCGCGUGAGGGACGACGGCCUUCGGGUUGUAAACCUCUUUUAGCAGGGAAGAAGCGAAAGUGACGGUACCUGCAGAAAAAGCACCGGCUAACUACGUG
Molecule: ribosomal RNA, 470 nt
Filed under: uncultured bacterium
Lineage: Bacteria
Description: partial 16S ribosomal RNA
Rfam family: Bacterial small subunit ribosomal RNA
Source: RNAcentral